CAAACGAAAAGGCAAACCUUGAGAAAUCAUGGGACGCAAAACUAUAGGGACUUACGAGCAAUGCCGAAGUCAGCCAGUUACCGAA
Molecule: non-coding RNA, 85 nt
Filed under: Bacillus sp. (in: firmicutes)
Lineage: Bacteria; Bacillati; Bacillota; Bacilli; Caryophanales; Bacillaceae
Also listed under: 1 other name
Description: Bacillus sp. c-di-GMP sequence
Rfam family: c-di-GMP-I riboswitch aptamer
About the family: GEMM was predicted in a large-scale screen for bacterial structured RNA regulatory elements.
Source: RNAcentral